RNAcentral lists this ribosomal RNA (902 nucleotides) under Globorotalia truncatulinoides. Its description in RNAcentral is "bacterial SSU rRNA". It matches the Rfam family "Eukaryotic small subunit ribosomal RNA", at positions 1311 to 1788 of the family's 1831-position model. Lineage: Eukaryota; Foraminifera; Rotaliida; Globorotaliidae. The record is from RNAcentral.
GCGUUUCACUAAGGUCCCAUUCUUCAUACGUAUGAAUAGCGUCUUAACUCACUUUUACCGCUACCUAUUUGUAGUAAGCGCUCAUACUAUUGGGACCGGAAUGCAACGAGCGCGACUGCACCACCUAAUUGCCUCUUAUCUACCAUUAAUUACUUUAUUAACCGCCCUGUACGGGCACCGGGGCCUUACCUUUACUGAAACUAGCUGGACCACUGCUUUCCUUUAAGCCAGAGGAAGGUUGCGGCAAUAACAGGUCUGUGAUGCCCUCAGAUGUUCCGGGCCGCACACGUGCUACAAUGAUCAGCACAGAGAGUAUUACCUAUCUUCUUAUACCUAACCCAAUAUGUUAAACUUAUUGCGUAAGGACAUUGUCUUAACGACUUAUCCGCUUUAGCGCUUUAAGAUUAUUGGACGGUUAUGCCUGCCUCGAGAGAGUGUACAGGGCAGCAAGAGUAAUGAUUCCUUCGUUUUUACUACUAAUACCGCGCUUGGUAACAUAUUACACUCGAUUAAGUAGGGUCUUUGCUUCUAAUAGCAAUUGCUAUCCUCACCCUUAGGCUCUAAGGAUAUUACUAUCUCUAAGGUCUACAGGGAGGUGUAUAUGGCGCACUUACUUAUUCACGGUGGGGACAGACCAUUGUUAACUGUUGGUCUCGGUCUCAACUAGGAAUGCCUCGUACGGGUUGGUUCACCAAACCACCCGGAAUAUGUCCCUGCCCUUUGUACACACCGCCCGUCGCUCUUAUCGAUGAACUCAUUUGUGAGGCUGAGGGACUGCGUCUAUUAUACCCGUGUAAUCCUAAUAUCUCACAUACAUUUCGCUAAAAGCGAUUUUGCUUUAAGGAUUUAUACGACCUUACGCACAAACUUAUUCGACCAAAUGGGUUUAAAGGAAAGAGAAG